GGCAGCGGGAAAUUUGCCCUUCCUGGAGUCUCAUCUUGGACCUAGAGUGAAGACACAAGACUUCAGUAUUUUAGAGUUCAACAGCUCUUAGGGAUAUUGGAUCUGUUCAAAGCAGUGUGUGUCCCCAGGCAGGAAGUGACAUAGCAAGGAGACUCAUAUUUAAGGAAGGACAAGCAGGAAGUGGUCUUCCUCUUCCUCCAGCUCUUCCUCCAGUGGCGGGAUGUGAUCCACCAGCAAGGGAGGAAGCCGAUGGAAGGCGUCUGAUAAGAUAAGUCUUAUAAAAUAUAUAGAUUUAUGAUAAUUUUAAGACUGAGCUAACAUAUGAGAAUCCUAGUCAUUGGCUAAGCAGUAUUUGUACCUAAUACAAGUCUCUGUGCAUUAAUUUGGGCCCUGUCAGAGACCGCCCACGUGGCUGUAGGGCUCAGGCAGCUUUUGGUGGAAAGAUUUAUUGUAACGCGCGCACGCGUGUUUGUGUGUGUGUGUGUGUGUGUGUGUGUGUGUCUGUCUGUCUGUCUGUCUGUCUGUCUGUCUGUCUGUAAGUCAGAGGACAACUUGCAAGAGUCACUUCCCUCCUUCUACCAUGUAGGUUCUGGAAGUCAAACCCAGAACUUCAGGCUUGGUGACAGAUGCCUUUACCCAUCAAGCUAUCUCAACGGCACUGUUAAUGUGCAUUCUUUACAUUCAAAUUUAGUUUUCUACAGAGAUGUCUGUUUAAGUUUGACUUCUCCAAUGAAAAUCAAAAGGUGGGACAGCAAGUAAGAGAAUAAUGCAGGAAGAGGCUGCUAAAGUAUACAGGAAACCAAGCUUAGUGAAAGUCUUCUGAGGAUAGAGUUAUUGCCUAUGUCAGUAAGUGGAACCUGGUUACUGCUGAACCAGGAGAAGUAGAAGACAUGACUUUGGAACGUGGCAUUGCGGCUGUAGAAACUAGCUGAGUCCAGGCCACAGUCCCAGGAAGUAAGCAAGAAUAUCCAUCAGUUUGUGCAAGCAACCAAGCCCCUGACAAAGUAACCCUGUAUCCUGACAGAUUGCUACCUGUAGGCUGCAGAAUCCAACUCAAACCGGCUCAAGAAAAUUCUUCCAGGAA
RNAcentral lists this long non-coding RNA (1084 nucleotides) under Cricetulus griseus (Chinese hamster). Its description in RNAcentral is "lncRNA (ENSCGRG00015033289.1)". Lineage: Eukaryota; Metazoa; Chordata; Mammalia; Rodentia; Cricetidae. The record is from RNAcentral.